Molecule: ribosomal RNA, 497 nt
Filed under: uncultured bacterium
Lineage: Bacteria
Description: partial 16S ribosomal RNA
Rfam family: Bacterial small subunit ribosomal RNA
Source: RNAcentral
GAUGAACGCUGGCGGCGUGCCUAAUACAUGCAAGUCGAGCGAACAGACGAGGAGCUUGCUCCUCUGACGUUAGCGGCGGACGGGUGAGUAACACGUGGAUAACCUACCUAUAAGACUGGGAUAACUUCGGGAAGCCGGAGCUAAUACCGGAUAAUAUAUUGAACAGCAUGGUUCAAUAGUGAAAGACGGUUUUGCUGUCACUUAUAGAUGGAUCCGCGCCGCAUUAGCUAGUUGGUAAGGUAACGGCUUACCAAGGCAACGAUGCGUAGCCGGCCUGAGAGGAUGAGCCCCCACAGUGGGACUGAGACACGGCCCAGACUCCGAGGGGAGGCAGCAGUGGGGAAUUUUCGACAAGGGGCGAAAGCCUGCAGGAGCAACGCCGGGUGAAGGAUGAAGGUUUUCGGGUCUUAAACUGCUUUUAUAAGGAAAGAAAAGUGUUUUAAUAAUAUAGGCGGGUCAUGACGGUACCUAAAGAAAAAGCCCGGGCUAACUCCGUG